Molecule: ribosomal RNA, 302 nt
Filed under: uncultured bacterium
Lineage: Bacteria
Description: partial 16S ribosomal RNA
Rfam family: Bacterial small subunit ribosomal RNA
Source: RNAcentral
GCAGUAGCCGCGGGAAUACGUAGGUGGCAAGCGUUGUCCGGAAUUAUUGGGCGUAAAGGGCUCGCAGGCGGUUUCUUAAGUCUGAUGUGAAAGCCCCCGGCUCAACCGGGGAGGGUCAUUGGAAACUGGGAAACUUGAGUGCAGAAGAGGAGAGUGGAAUUCCACGUGUAGCGGUGAAAUGCGUAGAGAUGUGGAGGAACACCAGUGGCGAAGGCGACUCUCUGGUCUGUAACUGACGCUGAGGAGCGAAAGCGUGGGGAGCGAACAGGAUUAGAUACCCGUGUAGUCCCUGUCUCUUAUAC